Molecule: non-coding RNA, 312 nt
Organism: Ictidomys tridecemlineatus (thirteen-lined ground squirrel)
Lineage: Eukaryota; Metazoa; Chordata; Mammalia; Rodentia; Sciuridae
Source: RefSeq, a predicted model, not a curated record
GCCUGACCCAUCAUGUACUCAUAAAUAUCUCUGAAAUGAACGAGCAAAUUUCACUUCGGCAAUCAAAUAAGAGACAAAUGCUGCACCACAGAGCCUUCAGCCCCUCUUCCCUGUGCAGCCUGGGACAUUUUCUGUGAUCACACAGGAAUGCUGCCCGGCAGGAACAAGAAAGGACGAUCUCUCCACAGAGAUCAUUUCCACAUUUCCCAAUCAAGACCCACGUUGGGGCAUCCGUUUGCAACGAAGCAGAUGCAGGCAAGUGAGAGAACAAGUCUCCCACUCAGCUAGGAAAAGCCUUCUUCUCAGACUCAG